This 237-nucleotide unclassified non-coding RNA is filed under the name rhizosphere metagenome. Its description in RNAcentral is "partial ribosomal RNA internal transcribed spacer region". The record is from RNAcentral.
GUAGGUGAACCUGCGGAAGGAUCAUUAAUGAGAUAGGGUCCUUCGGGGCCCGACCUCCAACCCCAUAUUUACCUUACCACUGUUGCCUCGGCGGGACGUCGACGCCUGAGAAGGCGCCGGCCGUCGGCUUCGGCCCUCGAGUGCCCGUCGAUGGACUAUUUGAAACCCAUUUAAUGAAGCCUUCUGAGAGUAUUAUACAAUACUUCAAAACUUUCAGCAACGGAUCUCUUGGUUCUG